RNAcentral lists this unclassified non-coding RNA (380 nucleotides) under soil metagenome. Its description in RNAcentral is "partial contains 5.8S ribosomal RNA, internal transcribed spacer 2, and large subunit ribosomal RNA". The stretch from base 1 to 120 matches the Rfam family "5.8S ribosomal RNA", at positions 35 to 154 of the family's 154-position model. The record is from RNAcentral.
GAUGAAGAACGUAGCGAAAUGCGAUAAGUAAUGUGAAUUGCAGAAUUCAGUGAAUCAUCGAAUCUUUGAACGCACCUUGCACCCUUUGGCAUUCUGAAGGGUAUGCUCGUUUGAGUGUCAUUGUACUCUCACACUCCCGAUCUUUGCAUUGGGAGCAGUGGACUUGGGUUUGCUGCAUCACCGUCGCUUACCUCAAAUAGGUUAGUGCAACUCUUGGUUGGACAUAGUACGGCGUGAUAAGUGUUCUUCGCCGGUGCCUCGCAAAGAGGGUGGCCGAUCGGGAUGUUGUGCUCCAAACCGUCUUCGGACAGUCUCUGACGACUUGACCUCAAAUCGAGUAAGACUACCCGCUGAACUUAAGCAUAUCAAUAAGCGGAGGA